UACGAAGGGGGCUAGCGUUGCUCGGAAUCACUGGGCGUAAAGCGCACGUAGGCGGUCUCUUAAGUCGGUGGUGAAAUCCUGGAGCUCAACUCCAGAACUGCCUUCGAUACUGAGAGUCUCGAGUCCGAGAGAGGUGAGUGGAACUGCGGGUGUAGAGGUGAAAUUCGUAGAUAUUCGCAAGAACACCAGUGGCGAAGGCGGCUCACUGGCUCGGUACUGACGCUGAGGUGCGAAAGCGUGGGGAGCAAACAGG
Molecule: ribosomal RNA, 253 nt
Filed under: uncultured bacterium
Lineage: Bacteria
Description: partial 16S ribosomal RNA
Rfam family: Bacterial small subunit ribosomal RNA
Source: RNAcentral